AUAAAAGGUAUUCCCUAGUACGGCGAGUGAAGCGGGAAGAGCUCAAAUUUGUAAUCUGGCACUUUCAGUGUCCGAGUUGUAAUCUCGAGAAGUGUUUUCCGCGCCGGACCGCAUACAAGUCUGUUGGAAUACAGCGUCAUAGUGGUGAGAACCCCGUAACUGAUGCGGAUGCCCGGUGCUUUGUGAUACACUUUCGAAGAGUCGAGUUGUUUGGGAAUGCAGCUCAAAUUGGGUGGUAAAUUCCAUCUAAAGCUAAAUAUUGGCGAGAGACCGAUAGCGAACAAGUACCGUGAGGGAAAGAUGAAAAGCACUUUGGAAAGAGAGUUAACAGUACGUGAAAUUGUUGGAAGGGAAACGCUUGAAGUCAGACUUGCUAUUUGGAGUUCAACCCAUGGUGUAUUCUUCAAUUUGCAGGCCAGCAUCAGUUUCUGGGGGUGGAAAAUCGUAGUUUGAAUGUAGCAGUUUCGGCUGUGUUAUAGCUUUCUACUGGAUUCAUCUUCGGGGACUGAGGAACGCAGUGCGCUUUUAGCAAGGCUCUCGAGCUUUACGCACUUAGGAUGCUGGUGGAAUGGCUUUAAACGACCCGUCUUGAAACCACGGACCAAACA
RNAcentral lists this ribosomal RNA (608 nucleotides) under Sampaiozyma vanillica. RNAcentral describes it as "eukaryotic LSU rRNA". It matches the Rfam family "Eukaryotic large subunit ribosomal RNA", at positions 65 to 672 of the family's 3401-position model. Lineage: Eukaryota; Fungi; Basidiomycota; Microbotryomycetes; Chrysozymaceae. The record is from RNAcentral.